RNAcentral lists this ribosomal RNA (331 nucleotides) under uncultured eukaryote. Its description in RNAcentral is "partial 18S ribosomal RNA". It matches the Rfam family "Eukaryotic small subunit ribosomal RNA", at positions 1470 to 1796 of the family's 1831-position model. The record is from RNAcentral.
CCCUUAGAUGUUCUGGGCCGCACGCGCGCUACACUGUUCGACGCAGCGAGUCUUAACCUUGACCGAAAGGUUUGGGUAAUCUUCAGCAAAGUCGAACGUGAUGGGGAUCGAUCAUUGCAAUUAUUGAUCGUGAACGAGGAAUUCCUAGUAAGUGCAAGUCAUCAGCUUGCGCUGAUUACGUCCCUGCCCUUUGUACACACCGUCCGUCGCUACUACCGAUUGAAUGGUUUAGUGAGAUCUCUGGAUUGACGCUGGCUAGGGGGCGACCCUUGGCCAGACUGUUGAGAAACUGCUCAAACUUGAUCAUUUAGAGGAAGUAAAAGUCGUAACA